GGAGAGGUGGCUGAGUGGUUCAAAGCGUCCUCCUGCUAAGGGGAAACGGGUAGUACCGUCGCAGGUUCAAAUCCUGUCCUCUCCG
Molecule: transfer RNA, 85 nt
Filed under: Nostoc sp. ATCC 43529
Lineage: Bacteria; Bacillati; Cyanobacteriota; Cyanophyceae; Nostocales; Nostocaceae
Rfam family: tRNA
About the family: Transfer RNA (tRNA) molecules are approximately 80 nucleotides in length. Their secondary structure includes four short double-helical elements and three loops (D, anti-codon, and T loops).
Source: Rfam by way of RNAcentral